Cyprinus carpio carpio is the source of this 2219-nucleotide long non-coding RNA. Lineage: Eukaryota; Metazoa; Chordata; Actinopteri; Cypriniformes; Cyprinidae. The record is from Ensembl.
GUAAUGCAGCACAGCUCUCACUGGUCCUGCGUUAUGUUACGGACACAGGUGUCAAGGAGCGAGCCAAUGACAUUGCUGCUCUUAUUGUCCGUUUCUUGGAGGAAUAUGAAUGUCUAGAUAAAGUUGUGGCACAGUGUUUUUUGAUGGCGCAGCCGUUAUGUCAUCUGGACUAAAUAGGGUGCAGGCUAAAGAUAUGGAGAAGGCAACUAUGGCCUUAUUCAUACACUGCUAUGCACUUCGGCUGAAUUUAGUUCUGACUCAAGGGGCAUCAAAGCUCAAAGAAUGCAAGAUCUUUUUUGUGCACCUAAAUAGCCAGCUGCAUUUUUCUCCAGAUCCCUUAGGCACACACAACUAUUGGACGAUAUCUGCCGGUGGCGUCUUCCUCGUGUGGCACCAACACGUUGGCAAUACACAUCGAGAUUGGUCAGUACAGUCUUUGAGAAGAAAUUUUCCCUAAAGGAGCUGUUUCACCAUAUCCUGGAACAUCAUGAUGAGUAUAACGAGGACUCUGUACAUUGUGCUGAUGGAUUUAAUGCACGUCUGAAUGAUUUUGAGUUUUGUUUUUUGCUUCACACAUUUAAUGGGAUUUUUGAGCAUACAGAUGUGCUUUUUGUAAUACUACAGAACAAAACAUUGAAUGUACAAUUCUGUAUGACAAGGGUGAAGGAGUUUUGUGACACCAUUGAGAGAGAGAGGGGCCGAUUCGAUGAGAUCUAUGAAGCCACUGCAUGCAUCUCAUGCGCACCAAGGACAUGGAGAGGCCCAGGACAAGGCGACCUUCGUGGAUACUAGCACCAACUCCACAGAAAUGUUCUGGACAACAUUCUCUGCCAGGCCCCAUGCAGCCAGGAUCUUCCCAGAUGUCCUUCUCUCUGGGUGCACCCACAGCAGAAGACGCGAGCCAGGCCCUGGGCGAUGACCUCUCCCACUAUGACACCUCUGGUCUUCAAGAUAUCCACCCGAAACCGCUUUGCUCCCCUCCGAGAGAUGGAACGCAACACUGUUAUUUUCAGAGACUCCAUUGUCAGGAACUGCAACUUAUCAUACUCCUUCAUGUCAGUCAGACACAGCCAGAGAUGGUGCUCAUGGACCACUAAUGUGUGCAGACUGUGGGGUCACCUUCAUUGCUCGAAGCGCGAGGUCCGUCACAGCACACAGUUCAUGUAGAACCACCAGGUCGUGGCCACCCUCGUGCAGGUCUCUCGCUUCCCCAUAAGCUCUGUAGGCACUGCCAGUUAAGCCUGAUGAAUAAUUACAGGACUGUGAGGGGAGACACGGGUCACCCCACAGAGUGGUAGCAGCCAUUGGACAUAGCUGCAUGGCCACUGACCGUUCCACCGAGGGAAUGCCUGCGUAUCCCAAAGCAGCUCCACUAUCGAGGGUGGUGAAAGUGGAGGAGCUACAAAACUUAUUUCGUGCAGUAAAAGGUGCCUUCCAAGAUAUUGUGAGCUACUCAUGCACCUCUGGGAAGAAUGGCACCAGAGGGGGGUGCUGAGAACCUCCAUUGAGAAACCAUUCAUCCAGUCUCAAAGGAUCGGGACACGGUGGAGGAUUCCACGCGAGCCCGACAUUCUCGGCAGCUGAGAAAACACAGCCGUCAUCUCUGGGUCUGGAAUGGACAACGUUGCCAUAGACGAAGGAGGCAAUGCAGUUGGGUAGUCAUCCCUGGAGAGAGAGAGCCCUCCGAUGCAGCGAUCAAAAUCUGGUCUCAAGGGGGCGAACUGAAGGAAACGGCCAGCUUCCUCCACCCUGUAGAGGGGCCAGCACGUCCCUUUGGCUGCUCCACUGGCUGCGGAGUGCUUGAGGGGUGACGAACUCCCUCUGGGGAAGCCGUUUCCUCAAAUCACCUCUGACUCCACCAGACGCAGCGCCGCCCCAAUUGGGACCCUGGUACGUUUGACAUAACAAAGUCUUUUGUGCAACUCCGAGAUGGUCAUGUCCCCAAAAAUAAAACAUGCACCAUCCACAAACGCUUGUUCAGCGUGCUCAAUGCCCAGACAAGUGAGGCAGUGAUCGUGACCGUCUCGAGGCGCAAAAUAGCGACCGCACCCAGAAACCCACGGGGGAUAAGACAUCUUUAAAAAGACAUGAUCACCCGUGUUGCUCUUUUAGAGUUUGCUCUUUUUGUGCUGAAGCACAAAGGGGAGCUGGCCACUGCACACUGGUGUGGCUGUCUGCAUGAGGAUGUUCUUUUUUUCUCUCCACCGUGAGACCGCGAC